ACAGUAGUCUACUUAGUUCAGUUUUAAGUCUCUUGGUUUUUCUUCCCUGCCAUCUCCCCAGACUAGACACUCAAUGUAGCAUUCAAAGAAUAUUACCAUGAAUCAUUAUAUAAUAAAUGGCCAAUAGCAGUAUUUUUUUCUGAAAGUCAUUUAAAGUUGCAUGAGAGAUUUGAAUUUAUACAAGCAUGAUUGCCCAGGAAAGCUGGCAGUAGUCAGUAGGAGCAAUAGUGUGAUGUCAAGUAUGUGAUCAAACAUACGAAUAUCUGUGGAGCUCCCAGCAGCAAGAGAAGGAUCCAUUUUGUAUGUUUCCUGUGUGGAGAGGUGCUUUUGUGUUCUCUAAUAGUGCUGCAUUUCUGAUAUUAAAAGAUAAUGUAUCUGUUCUUAGCAUUGCUCAGACAGUUUAAUUACCACCUAAGUUCAGAUAUUAUGCCUUGUCAGAUCUUUAAAAGCACAGUCUUCCAGACGCUGAGAUAUCUGCCUGUUAUGGGUUGCUGAUAGCCUACUCUAAGAAGUGUUUGUGCUUUAGAGGAACAGAAACUGUACUCAUUACAGGCAGCAGAAGAUACUUAGCCAGAAAUUGGGAAAGGGAGAUGCAUGUAGAAUGUAGGCAGAAGGAAUAUAAGCUUUUUGGUGACUCAACACCACUCUAACUUGGAGGGACUGGUGGCUUGUGUCCAGGUCUACUCAGGGUUUUGGAUUUUAAUAAUGUAUUUGGUAUUUGGUGAUCCUUUUGUUUCUUGAUCAUAUUACUGUAGUAUCUUUGCCCUAUUGCUUUCUCCUCCCCACCCAGGUGCCCAAUAUAGAGUUUCCAGCAGAAGCAGCAAAGAGAAAAUUAUUUGUGGUUGUUAUCUUUAAUCCUAUGCCUAAAGUAUUUCAAUUAGUCACUAAACACAUAAUACAAAGCCAGGGGAGAAAUGUGGAUCCCUUACAAAGGUAGGACAGAGCAAGAGCUUCUUUUAGUCUUGGGCAGAGAAUGGAUCAGAUGAGCCAGUUAUUGCCAUUGACUGUGGGGUUCCCAGACAAAUAACCUUCAAACUGAGACAGCUAUUGUGUGCUGGAAGGCAGGCAAGUUGGAUACCAUGGCCUUCACCCUUCCUCUCUCCCCACAGGGACUGAUUACAGAUGUGUAACUACACUGUUGCUCCCCUCCCUCGGGAACUUGAGACCAUGGGCUGUUUUCCCAUGCCUUCCAUUUCUCCUUUUCAAUCAAACACAGAAUCUACAAGCAUUAUUGAUUAGAAACGUGGACAUUUUUCUUCAGUCACUCUAGCUACUAGGCUUGAUAGCUCAUCUUUGGUAUGUUAAAAAACACCCACCCCACACACCCUGUGCUAUUCCAGUUGACAGUCACUUGUAGUGCUGUAGUCUGGAUUUCUUUCUAUGUAGAGAAGUAUUUUGUAGGAGAUGGCUGGAAAAAUCUUGUGGGUAGAAAUUGGCUUUUUCACUUUUCUCUUGUUUCCUCUGUUGGAAUAAUUCCAAAGAAAAUGCAUUGGUCAUGCAACUCUCUUUGCAUCACUCUUGGUGAGAUUGAUUUGGCAUUAAAAUAUAUUUUGUGUAGCUCACUGAUGUUUGUUGUCUCAGUAUGAACAUAAUGUUCUUGGAGACAUAACAUGUUUAAAUCUUUCCACUUCUUCUUAAGGCCAUAUCAUACUCUAGAAGAGAAAUUCAGGAUUCAGAUUCCAUUCAGUUCCUAUUAAGGGCAAAAAUACCUUGUUAUUAUUUUAUUGAGGUAAAUCAAAAGUCAAAGACGGCCAAAGAUGGUUAAGAUCUGCAAGAAAUUGUAACAAACUCUCUUGAACAUUAACAGCAGUGCAUUUUGUCAGAUGGAUAUUCACUUUGAAAGAUGCUUCUUGAAGGAACAGCUUGUUGGUAAUUUUUUUUCUUGAAGGAUUGGCAAAUAAGCUCUGGCAAUUUUAAGAGGUUUGCAACCCUGAUCAGUAAAUUGGUGGAAGCAAACUUAUCCGAGCUCCUGGACUACAGUUGUUUACAAUCCGUCAUAUUAUCUUAUACCAGCACUGACUUCACUUUACAUGGCUAUGUAGAACAUACUGAUGUAAAGUCAGUCCUUCUGUCAAGUUUGUUAUAUAGAACGUAGGCUCUUUUAUGAAGAUGCAGCAAAUACUUAGGACUGAUAGACUCUUAUUCUCCUAAAAAAUGCCCCUGUGUGUUCCUUCUUCUGCAGUAGUGUAGAGAUGGCCUGUUUCACUGUUAAUUUAGUAGACAGAUUUGCUGCAUUCUUAACAAGUCCAUGGAUGACAGCAACUUUGUGGGGGCAGUCAGUGCACUGGAGGGCUGGGCUGCCUUCGGGUGGGACCUACUCAGAAUGUAUGCUUACAGGAACUUCAUGAAGCAAGGCAAAUGCAGAAUUCUGUGUUUAGGAUGACAUAAACUCACACCGCAGGAUCAUGUGGGCUCUGACUUCCCAGAAAUCAGCUUUGCAGAAAAGGCCUUGUGCUUCUGGUUGGGGACAGGUUGAAGACUGCAGUGUGCCCUUUUAACAAAGAAGGCUGUUUGCAUGGUGGGCUGUUAUGGCAAGAGCACAGCCAUCAGGUUGUGGAAAAUCAUUCUUACCCUCUGGCUGUCAUUUGAGAUCACAUCUGGAAUAUUGUGUCUGGCAUUGGAGUCUGCAGUGCAAGAAAGACUUUAACAGUCACAGUGAGUCUGGCAGAGCACCACCAAGCCAGUCCCAAGCAAGCCUCCAAGCAAGCCUCAGGCUUCCUGAGUGAUGUGAAAGGAGAAGCUGAGGGACCUGGACUCAUUCAGCUUGAAGAGAGGACUGUCUGCAACCAUCAAAUGGAGUAUGGAGCUGAACUCUUCUUGAAGUUGCAUGAGUGUGCCCACGAAAACGACUGCACUGUGCCCAGUGCACUGAGCUGCAGAGAUACUUCCUACUUGCCCCUCUAUCCAAUUCCCUUUUCUAUGUGUUCUAGCCAUGUGUGCUAGUACCAUGAAUGUCAAGGCUGGAAUUGCAUUCAUCAUCUGUCCUCUGGAAAAUGGGAGGACCAAUCCAUUCCUGUUUCCGUUCCCUUUGGUUCUCCUAAUGUCAUUUUACUUUAUAGUAUUUUUCUGAUAGGGUACUAUGUGAACUAGACUUCUUAAUACUUGGUAGAAAAAAGAUUCUCCUUUCCCAGCCUAAUUGGGAAAAGUCCAGCUAUUUUAACGUUUUCAGAAUCAGAAAUGAACAACUGCUGCAUGUAUCCAUGUGAAUGAAGAACAGGUAUCACUUGUUGGAGGAGAAAGCUGUUCUGGGAAGAUUGUGAAGCAGAUAAAAAGCCCCAUGGACAAUUGUUCAAAAAGAGAAGAUAGUAAGAGUUCGUAAAAACUGUUCUAGUGAACAAGACUGCUGAGAAUGCUGGCUGUAUUCUAUGCUUCUACACUCAUCAGUGUAAAGAUCUGUAGCUCCAUCUCCAGUAAUAUUCAACGUGUCUUAGAUAAAUAGAGAAGGAGCAGCACCAUUUUCUGGACAGCUGAAAGAGCUGGGAAAUAACUUCUGGAUUAAUAGAAUUUACAGCCCUUUUCUUCAGUACUUAGCUCUUUCAUCUCACUGCUUCAUUCUCCAAUGACUGGGGUGUCUCUGACUGUCUAAAGCAUGGCUGAAGAUAGCAAAGACUUGGUUUGCUUUGUGUUAACUCUAUCUAUCUGAAUUCAGGGCAAUCUUCUGUGGCUCUGCAUACUUAUUCAGCUCCCCUCCUUAUUUGCUUGGGGUUUUCCUAAAUGUGAUGAGAUGGAGCUGAAUAUAUGUGUUGCUGGCAUGUAUAGAAUGCAAUAAAUAUACUAUGCUGCUCAAAUACUGUUAAGAUUUUGAAUUUUUGCAGAAUUUCAGCAAAUCUGUAUAGUACCUAUGUCAAGAACUUUCAGUUCAUAUGUCAAAAUGUUCCAUGUACAGUUUCUUUAGCAUUUUAACCAAAUUAGUAAAUUUUACCUUAAUUUUGUAGAUAAGAAAACUGUACAGGAAGAAGUGAUUUUCUUAGUCUCUGGGAAGCUGAGAAUGAAACCUGAAUUUGUUCUUCUUGUUCCUUAUUCACUGAAUGGUACUAUUUUCCUUAAAUAGUAAAUUUUUUUCCCUAAAGUUUUAUAAAUAAUUUGCAUAGCCUACUAAAUAUGCAUGCUCUAAAAUACUCAAACAGUUCCUUUUCAUCUGGCACAGCAUGGAACUAGCAGUUUUAUCCUUAAUCUACCCACAAAAUGUGUGACUAUGGUGUUCAAUUUAUACUGGGACCUAUUCCUAGACUGCAUUAUGGUUUAUAAAAAAUUGUUGGCAUUAAUUAAUGAAAUUAAUCACUUGUAGAGAAGAAAAAAGGGCAGCUAAGAUGUUACAGUGUACUAGUUCAUUCAAGCACUUUUAACUUUCUUACUUAUCAAGAAAUCCAAAACAAAGUACCUUCAGCUAUGCAAAAAUACAAACAAGCUUUUUCUUUUUAAAUAGUGCCUUCAUUGGCCUGAGUUGCUUGUUUGGUUUUGUUUUUGGUUUUUGUCUUGUUUUGUUUUCUGAAAAUAUUUUGAGAGGAUGCCAUAGUUUGUGACUUGCUCUGUCUGAGCUGCUGGAUUAGUCCAAGUGCUCAGUGUAGAGGAGGGUGAAUUGGGUGAUAAAAUUCUUGAUUUGAACACUGCAGUGCAAGUCGUCAGAUCUGCCUUUCUACUUUUUUGGGGUGUAAAAAAUAAAAAAGGUCUUCAAGGACUGGAGGGAGGUACAGUGUUUCUCUUUGCUGCCAAAUUGCAGGUUGUAUCUUUUGAUACGUUGCUUCUGUGACAGGAUUACAAAAGGAAGCAUAAAGAAACUGAUCCAAUCUGUUCUGAGGCCUUGGAAAGCUCGUGGAUAUUUAUUAUCCACCAUACUCUGAAGAAAAAAAAAACAGAACACCAAAGGGCUGUUUCUUGUUUUGAUCUUAAUUUAAAUAUUGCUGCAUUUUGCAUUCACCUUUGUACAUAUGAUCCAUAGCUAUUUACUUAAUAUUUAAUAAUUGCAUGCAGAGGCUGAAAUGUUACUUACAGUAUGUAGUUCAAAUAUUUACACUCAAAGUCAGUCUUUUGACUUGUGUUUUAUAGGAACUAUCAAUGUAGUAGUUUUUCAUUUGUUAGACUCAUAUUUUACAGAUAGACUUAUUAACACACAGAGAUUAGUGUUUAUGGAUUUUGAAUGAUUCAUUUUUAAUUUCACAUCUUCUUUUCAAACCUUUUGUCCUGGUGUUUUUAAGACUGGACUGAUGCUUUAUGUUAUCUGGACUCCAGUGAGAUCUAUAAAAUCAAAUCUCUUUGAUUUUUUCCUCCCCACUCCUACUGUGGAAUUUUGUCUUCUGCAACCGUUAGUAUCUGGCUGUUCUGUAAAGUGACAGUCUUGGGCACCUCACAGCCUGGCUCUUGUGAAGCUGGUAAGGCAUGUGGAAAACACAAAGGCCACAUGAUCUAGAGAGUUAGAACAUCUUCUGAGACAGGGAGAAGCAAGGACGGUUUACAUAGUGGACAGAGGAACAGAUAUGUGACAGGGCUGCCUGCAGAGGAGGAAGGAGGGAAGAAGUGGUGCCAGAAAAAAAUUUUCAUCUUAAACAACCUUCUCAGUUCUGAGGUCAACGGUAUUUUACCCUUGCAUUUUUGACUAUUAAUGGGUUGGGUUUCUAUAACACAACAGCCAAAGAAAUUGUUAAUUUUUUCUUUCUUGUGUUUUCCAUUCUAUUGAACAAUGUAGCGUAGACACCUAAACUUGUAAUUGCAUCCACUUUGUAUAGCUUUGGCUUCCCAUUCCCCUCAGUUCCCAGAUUCUUAUGACUGCAUAGACCAUGAUCAUUAGCUGCUUUGAGACAAAGACUACAGAUCAACUUGCUUAUUUUGUUUAAAACUGCAAAGGAAUUGCCAUGACAGACUGGAGUUCUUAACCCAUCCUAUGUUAACCUAUCCUAUGACCCAGUGAUCAACAGUGGAGAUUCCAGAGGAAGAUGCAAGAAGCUUGAUUUCAAACUGAAAGAGGGCAGGUAUAGAUGUCAGGAAGAAAUUCUUGACUCAGGGAAGUGAGGCACUGGAACCCAGAGAAGUUGUGGAUGCCCCAUCCCUGCAACUAUUCCAAGGCCUGGUUGGAUGGGGCUCUGAGAAACCUGGUCUAGUAGGUUGCUCUAGUGUUGGACACUUGGAGGUGUCCCUGCCCAUGAAAGAGGGUGGAAUGAACUUUAAGUUUCCUUCCUACUCCAAGCUGUUCUGUGAUUCUAUGAUGGUUCUAAACUAUGUGUUCUUUGGUUAGAGUUUGGGUUAAACUCUGGAACAUGAUAUUUAAUAGAUCUUGGAAAAUUAUUAGAACUCUGGAUAUUUUUGUUACACCAUAUAAAUGUCUAAUCCUUUUUCCAUCCUUUCUAAGUCCUCAGCUGUAAUGAUAUUUUGUAGCAGUUAGUUCCACUGUCUAAUUAUGAAUUGUAUGAUAGAGUAUUGCCUAUUUAUAAUGUUUAAAUUUCUUUGGAAGUCCCUUGUGUUAAGACUUGGAGAGAACAGAAGCUUUCCUUACUUUUCUGCCUUAAGGGCCUUGUGACUAAUUUGUUCAUUUCAGGGAUUUGCCUCACAGAAGAGAAACUCAGCUGCACAAUAUUCAACUUAGAGUUUCUGAGAGGUUUUUGCAGGCUAAUUACAAAGCCAUUGUAAUGUGCCUUGAGAUUCCAGUGUCAUUGAUCUUUUACAGUUGGGAGAAUAUGCUUCUAAGAUUUUGGGCAGUAGCAGAUUUAAUUUUAUUUCCAGAAUGAUGUUCAGUGCCACAACUUGCUCCACUUAAGUGGAGUGCUGUACUUGCAUUGCUGUACUGUGAAAAACACCAGUAGCAAAUCAAUGGAUGACUUCUGAAUGUGGAUGUCAAGAGUGCAGUGGAUAUGCAGUGUCACAACCCAAGUCAAUGCAGUGUGUUUGACUCUGGGCAUAUGCAUCUCACUGAAAGCAUGGUCAUAGAAAUGCUAAUUCAUUUGUCUCAAAAUACUUAUUUUUUUUUUAAUUUAUUUUGUUUAUUUUCUAAUAAAUAUUUUCUAAAAUAUGAUCCCAGGUUAGACAGACCUGAUUAGACUGUAAAGAAUAAGUGUAUUAUCACGGUUAUCCUAAACUUUUUAUAUGAUUUGGUAGUUGUCUCCUGGGAGUAUUUCUUCUGCAUUAUUUGGAUUGAUUUCAGGAUAUUUUGUUCCUAUUGACUUUUCUGCUGCUGCUAGUCACUUAAAGAAACGGCACUUUGAACAAAGAGCAUCUAGAUUAUACUAUUUAUAUACUAAUAGUAUAUCUAGAUGUGCUAUUUAUAUACUGACAACUCAGAACCAUCUCCCUUGAUGAUACAGAUACACAUUUCCACAGAGUAGAUCCCUCCAUGUGCACCAUGUGACAUUCAGGCAGUUGGAAGAACACUUGUCCCAAGAUGCUAGGGAACAGUGAGUGUAUCAUUGCAAAUCUCAUCAUCUCAUACAUAAGUCAACAAAAUGCCAACAAAAUUGAGAUGGAUAAUUUAUUUAUGUCUGCUUCUCAGUGAAGAUAAAACUAUGUAAAACCACUUCUUAAACUAGGUCAGUAGAAGGCAAAGAUAUUGUAAAGUCAAAGCACAUUUAAAUUUUCAUCUCUCACAUCCCUGCCCAGUACAUAGAUGGCUGUAGAAGUUCCUUUAAAGAAUGUACUUCUUGCUUACUAAUUGCAAAUAUCCUUUCAUCCUCUCUGGAGAUAUAAACAGUGAGCUGUUGGGCCCUAAACACCUUUUGUGUCUUGAUACCUUAUGUGACAAGGUUGGAUUUGAUGUCUACUGUGUUGCUGUGUCCAAAAUUUUAUGAGGGAGGAUAGUGAAUUUAUAAAAUUCUGAGCUAAUGGUGUGUCUGCGUGAUGGAGCAAAUAAAACUGGAGGCAGUUGUAUCUUUUCUGUGAAAAAGA
This is a long non-coding RNA of Parus major (Great Tit), 7869 nucleotides long. RefSeq lists it as uncharacterized. The transcript has 2 exons. The record is from RefSeq and is a predicted model, not a curated record. Lineage: Eukaryota; Metazoa; Chordata; Aves; Passeriformes; Paridae.